GUUAGAUACGAUGAAAAAUUUACUAAAAUACAACAAUGCUUUAGUUCAAAUAACAAUGUUGUACAAGGAAUGCUAGAAAAUGGAUCAUAAAGUUUUGUUUACAAUACGUUGUUCAUUUGAAUAUACGGUUUAGUGUAGCAGCUAAGCGGACUCCACCUUGAGCUAAACGCCAUAGAACUAUUUGAUAUCGCGAUAGGAAAUAAUCA
RNAcentral lists this unclassified non-coding RNA (206 nucleotides) under Hevea brasiliensis (rubber tree). The record is from RNAcentral. Lineage: Eukaryota; Viridiplantae; Streptophyta; Magnoliopsida; Malpighiales; Euphorbiaceae.